AACGAACGCUGGCGGCGUGGAUUAGGCAUGCAAGUCGAACGGUAGUCUAGCUUUUUCGGACUAUAGUGGCGAAAGGGUGAGUAACACGUGAGUGACCUGCCUUUGGGAUCGGGAUAACCUCUCGAAAGAGGGGCUAAUACCGGAUACGUCUUUAGGUCUACGGACUUAAAUGGAAAGAUGGGGAUUCCUUCGGGAACCUGUCGCCCUUAGAUGGGCUCGCGGCCUAUCAGCUAGUUGGUGAGGUAACGGCUCACCAAGGCUAAGACGGGUAGCUGGUCUGAGAGGAUGGUCAGCCACACUGGGACUGAGACACUGCCCAGACUCCUACAGGAGGCUGCAGUCGAGAAUCUUUCGCAAUGGGGGAAACCCUGACGAAGCGACGCCGCGUGCAGGACGAAGGCCAUCGGGUUGUAAACUGCUGUCGGCUGGGAAGAAAAUACCAGCGAUUAACAAUCGCUAGUACUGACGGUACCAGCAAAGGAAGCCACGGCUAACUCUGUGCCAGCACG
This 509-nucleotide ribosomal RNA is filed under the name uncultured bacterium. RNAcentral's name for it is "bacterial SSU rRNA". It matches the Rfam family "Bacterial small subunit ribosomal RNA", at positions 29 to 515 of the family's 1533-position model. The record is from RNAcentral.